Podarcis lilfordi (Lilford's wall lizard) is the source of this 68-nucleotide non-coding RNA. The record is from the annotation of a GenBank genome assembly. NCBI's taxonomy places the organism in Eukaryota, Metazoa, Chordata, Lepidosauria, Squamata, Lacertidae.
UAAGUUUGUUCUUGGUAUAAGCUUUUGUGUGUGCAUGUACACGAAAGCUUAUACCAAGAGCAAACUUA